This 767-nucleotide long non-coding RNA is filed under the name Marmota monax (woodchuck). The record is from RNAcentral. Lineage: Eukaryota; Metazoa; Chordata; Mammalia; Rodentia; Sciuridae.
GGAAAAUCCAGUCUUUCACCAUUGUGUAUGAUAUUAGUUUGAGGUUUUUGUAGAUGAACUUUAUCAGUUCAGGAAAUUCCCCUGAGUAUUUCUCUUGAAAUAGCUUUGGUGGACAGGGCUGUAGUGUCAAAAUGAAUGAUUUGUGAAAGUUCUUUUAGGACUUCACGUCCUUUCCAUUAUUUAUAAUAAGGUUGGAAACAUUGCCCACUAAACACAGGUGUGUGUGUUCUUUCCCCUCACGCCCAGAAAAGACUGGAUGUUACAGAAGAAACUCUUUUUUCUCUCUUUUCCUCUCUCCCAAGUAUUUUCCCUAAUUGCUACCCAUAUGAAAGCAAACAGUCAAUUGUGGUGGGUAAAUAUAAUAGCUUCUUACCAUUCUAUCCUUAUGCUUGUAGGAUGCAGUACAUUUGUGCAUGAAUUUCUAUCAUACAUAUGCCAUGGGUGUUAUGUAAAAUAAGCUGCAGGAAGUCAGGAAAGGUGUCAACUCCAGAAAAAGUACCUCAACAAACUUCUAAAAGGAAAAGACAUUUAUCAAAUUCAACCAAGAAUUUAGUUCCCAGAAGAAUUGGCAUAUUAGGAUUUGGUCGGCAUUCUUGAAAAAGAAUUACUGAUUUGAUGAUGAUUAAAUGCACCAAUAUACUGCCAGAUGCUAAGUGGUACCUUUAAGAAGCUGAGACCCAAAAGCCAAUGAAGACUGGCCACCCAGGUAAAAAAAAAAAAGUCCCAGCCAAGGAAAACACAGCAUGGUAGAGUUAACUGAAUGGCGU